CCCUUAGAUGUCCUGGGCCGCACGCGCGUUACACUGAUGCAUUCAACGAGUUUUACCUUGGCCGAGAGGCCUGGGCAAUCUUUUAAACCUGCAUCGUGAUAGGGAUAGAUUAUUGCAAUUAUUAAUCUUGAACGAGGAAUUCCUAGUAAACGCAGAUCAUCAAUCUGCAUUGAUUACGUCCCUGCCCUUUGUACACACCGCCCGUCGCACCUACCGAUUGAAUGGUCCGGUGAAGCCUCGGGAUUGUGGCCAGUUCACUUUAUUGGGAGUUGGCUGCGAGAACUUGUCUAAACCUUAUCAUUUAGAGGAAGGUGAAGUCGUAACA
Molecule: ribosomal RNA, 325 nt
Filed under: uncultured eukaryote
Lineage: Eukaryota
Description: partial 18S ribosomal RNA
Rfam family: Eukaryotic small subunit ribosomal RNA
Source: RNAcentral